This 255-nucleotide ribosomal RNA is filed under the name uncultured bacterium. Its description in RNAcentral is "partial 16S ribosomal RNA". It matches the Rfam family "Bacterial small subunit ribosomal RNA", at positions 524 to 776 of the family's 1533-position model. The record is from RNAcentral.
UACGGAGGGUGCAAGCGUUUAUCCGGAUUUACUGGGUUUAAAAGGGUGCGUAGGUGGGUAGGUAAGUCAGUGGUGAAAUCUUCGAGCUUAACUCGGAAACUGCCAUUGAUACUAUUUAUCUUGAAUACUUUGGAGGUAAGCGGAAUAUGUCAUGUAGCGGUGAAAUGCUUAGAUAUGACAUAGAACACCAAUUGCGAAGGCAGCUUACUACACAGUUAUUGACACUGAGGCACGAAAGCGUGGGGAUCAAACAGG